CGUGAGAAACAGAGAAAGUGUUCUUCCUUUCGAGCAUGAGCUGUGAGUCGAUGAAUGUUGUUGGAGGGUCUUCUUUUGGACAUUGAUCCUUUAAGAAAGGGAAGAAAAAUAAGAAGAACAAGAAAAGGAUGCAAAGUGCUGGGACACCCAAGUCCUGUCAGAUCAUAAAACCUGUUGGGUAGAAAAUACCUCCCCGACCGAAGUUUGUAAAAGACCGACCCUUCCAGGGCUUCACCGGCUUCCGACCUUGUGUGGCAUCUCUCUGAACCCCCCCGACCGUCUGAGCUUCCGGACUUCUCUGACAAUGAGCUUCUUCAUUCAUCUAC
Molecule: long non-coding RNA, 326 nt
Filed under: Elaeis guineensis (African oil palm)
Lineage: Eukaryota; Viridiplantae; Streptophyta; Magnoliopsida; Arecales; Arecaceae
Description: long non-coding RNA (EGUI_LNC032494)
Source: RNAcentral